This 250-nucleotide ribosomal RNA is filed under the name uncultured bacterium. RNAcentral describes it as "partial 16S ribosomal RNA". It matches the Rfam family "Bacterial small subunit ribosomal RNA", at positions 524 to 776 of the family's 1533-position model. The record is from RNAcentral.
UACGUAGGGUGCAGGCGUUAAUCGGAAUUACUGGGCGUAAAGCGUGCGCAGGCGGCUUUGCAAGACAGAUGUGAAAUCCCCGGGCUCAACCUGGGAACUGCAUUUGUGACUGCAUGGCUGGAGUGCGGCAGAGGGGAUGGAAUUCCGCGUGUAGCAGUGAAAUGCGUAGAUAUGCGGAGGAACACCGAUGGCGAAGGCAAUCCCCUGGGCCUGCACUGACGCCUCAUGCACGAAGCGUGGGAGCAACAGG